GAUAAUUAUUUGUAACUGAACUGUCGAUAUCAGCCGAUUGCUACUGAUGACAGUAUUCCUAGACUUUAAUGCAUUUCACAAAUGCACAUGUAUAUUUCUGUGUGUGUGUGUGUGUGUGUGUGUCCAGUAGGAAUAUCAAGAGAACAUCAGCCCUUGUUCUAGAUAGUCUUUGAUAAUGCAUAUAAUAUAUGAUGAUACUGUGAUUCACUUUAGUUUAGCAAAGGACUCUGACUUAUCUUUCCACUUAAUGGAGUGUCUUGUCCUUGUAAUGUUUUGCCAGCAAAACACACUCGGACAACCAGAUCCUUCUACGGCAAAGCUUUAUUGCUUACUUCUCAGGAAGACCCUGAACCCGGAAAAUGGAGCUGCUUAAAUACCCCUCUGUGUGACGUGUAAGCUCCUGAUUAACUGCUCACUAUCAGCCCAGAUGACGCCACGGGACAGGCAAGGGCACAAGGAAUGGAAAAAUACCCUAGCACAUGCGCAGACUAUUUGUUUACCAGUUAGAACACUGGAUAUCAGCACCAUCUUGUAAUGGCGAUUGCAAGGGCGGCUCCUCACAGGAGUGCCUCCUCUUUGGAGGCAAGUUUAAUCAGGGAUGGGGAAGACCUGCUGGGAAUACUGAGCUCAGACGUAAGGCUGAGGGCCAGGAGCAGGAGUGGGGAUGCUGCAGACACAGUCUCUUGCAGAAAGUGGCCUGUGCACCUCUUUCUGUAGACCUCAAGCUUCCCUGGAUGAUUUACCGUAGUUAAUGGUCUAUAUUAAUAAAUGCUGCUAUUUACAGUAUAUUGACACACAAAUGUCUGUUCAGUACAGACAUGGGCUUUUUAGAAAGUAUUUUCCAGCCUUCAAUUACUGAACCAGCAGAUGUGAAGACUCACAAAUGUAGAUGGGCAACUGUUGGUCAUUCUUUAUCUGCUCCUCUGUCAUCCCAGAAUUACUCUCUCUCCCUCUCCCCUCCCCAUCCCCCUCCCCACCCCCUCCCUCUUCAUACAGAGGAGAUGCAGAGAAGUGUGUGCUUUGUAAAUCUUUAGAAUGGUUUUGGUAUGGGUUUUUACACUAUCCUCCAUCUUGUCUCCUUCCCAUAACCUCAGUGGUCACAGGUAUCCUGUGAAGAACAUCUCUGGGCUUCAGUGUGGAGACUUCCUCAGAUUCUAGGCAAGGCUAAUUGGUUCUCUUGAAGAUCAAACCUUCCCUUUGGGACAGUUGCUAGUCUACUAAAGAAUGACAAAAAGUUAGGCAAAGUCAAGGAGUAAUUAUUUUGCCUGGAUUGGCUAUUUCUAGGUGGCACUGAACAUUCCAGAGUUACAAGGUGUGUGCUACCUUCUAUGACAGAUCAUUUACACACAUACAACACACACACACACU
This 1368-nucleotide long non-coding RNA is filed under the name Mus musculus (house mouse). Its description in RNAcentral is "long non-coding RNA chr15:30933667-30935035". Lineage: Eukaryota; Metazoa; Chordata; Mammalia; Rodentia; Muridae. The record is from RNAcentral.